This 253-nucleotide ribosomal RNA is filed under the name uncultured bacterium. RNAcentral's name for it is "partial 16S ribosomal RNA". It matches the Rfam family "Bacterial small subunit ribosomal RNA", at positions 524 to 776 of the family's 1533-position model. The record is from RNAcentral.
UACGUAGGGUGCAGGCGUUAAUCGGAAUUACUGGGCGUAAAGCGUGCGCAGGCGGUUUGCUAAGACAGGUGUGAAAUCCCCGGGCUUAACCUGGGAACUGCAUUGGUGACUGGCGGGCUAGAGUAUGGCAGAGGGGGGUAGAAUUCCACGUGUAGCAGUGAAAUGCGUAGAGAUGUGGAGGAAUACCGAUGGCGAAGGCAGCCCCCUGGGCCAAUACUGACGCUCAUGCACGAAAGCGUGGGGAGCAAACAGG